GAAAUAUGAGGUCUUUGGCUCCUUUCCCAGAACUGCCAGGCUAAGACCUUGGCAGAGACUCAACAGGAAACUGAACACUAUUUGCAUAUCCUUUUAUACAUGGGAGAUUAAAAGCUUCAACCUUGAGUGAUCACAGUUUUUAAGAAUCAUGAUGAGGCAUUAAAGAGAAGGAGGAGCGUCUCAAGGGAGGUGAGCUGGAGGCGAAGCAAGACUGCAAGCUCUUCUUAGCAGGUGGAAGUUUCCCCGGAUCUCAGAGAGUUUCUUUCCAGCAUGUGAUUUGGCACAGGCUUACAGCAGAUCAUAGUCAUCCAAGGAGCCCUGCCUUUAAGAGUGAAAAUAUGUCCAGUGCCCUGAAGGGAUCACCUGUGUUUGGAGGUGGUGAAUUAUCUUUUGCUUUCCUGGAAUUGCUGAUUUCACAGUGAAGAUCUGCUGUCACACACAAAGAGCUGUGGGCAGAAUGUAAAGUUAUUGCUGCCUCUGGAAAUCCUCUUUGGUUUCCCCUGCUUGCUGGAAGAACUGGGUGGGUAGGGGGGUGCUGAUGGUCCUCAGGUAGAACAUGGAGAGGCCAGAACAGAGGUUUUCAUGCUGAUAAGAGACUAGUCUUAUGCCUUUGUUGGUAGAAGUCUCUUUAUAAAAAAAACAAAAUGAGGGCACCUGGGUGGCUCAGUUGGUUAAGCGACUGCCUUUGGCUCAGGUCAUGAUCCCGGAGUCCCGGGAUCGAGUCCCACAUUGGGCCCCCUGCUCGACCGGGAGUCUGCUUCUCCCUCUGACCCUCC
This 776-nucleotide long non-coding RNA is filed under the name Zalophus californianus (California sea lion). Its description in RNAcentral is "lncRNA (ENSZCAG00015023669.1)". Lineage: Eukaryota; Metazoa; Chordata; Mammalia; Carnivora; Otariidae. The record is from RNAcentral.